This is a long non-coding RNA of Sebastes umbrosus (honeycomb rockfish), 262 nucleotides long. RefSeq lists it as uncharacterized. The record is from RefSeq and is a predicted model, not a curated record. The transcript has 2 exons. Lineage: Eukaryota; Metazoa; Chordata; Actinopteri; Perciformes; Sebastidae.
AUUUAAAUGAAACUGGACUGAUAUCCAGUUUCCAACUAUUUAAUUGAAACUGGACUGAUAUCCAGUUUCCAACUGUGAGAAGAUUAUUUACUAAUGGUUGAAGUAUUUAGAAAACAUUUUAUAGUUAAAGUUUGUAUGAUUAGAUGAUGACCUUUUUCAAAAUAGUACCUCAUUUAAAAAAUAAGGUUGUUUUUAUUCUGUAUUUUUCACUGUUUUUCUUUUUGUCUUUUUUGUCUUUUUAUUACAGAUUUAAUUGAAACUG